AAGAAGGGCGUGCUAAUCUGCGAUAAGCGCCGGUAAGGUGAUAUGAACCGUUAUAACCGGCGAUACCCGAAUGGGGAAACCCAGUGUGAUUCGUCACACUAUCAUUAACUGAAUCCAUAGGUUAAUGAGGCGAACCGGGGGAACUGAAACAUCUAAGUACCCCGAGGAAAAGAAAUCAACCGAGAUUCCCCCAGUAGCGGCGAGCGAACGGGGAGGAGCCCAGAGCCUGAAUCAGCAUGUGUGUUAGUGGAAGCGUCUGGAAAGGCGCGCGAUACAGGGUGACAGCCCCGUACACAAAAGCGCAUGUGCUGUGAGCUCGAUGAGUAGGGCGGGACACGUGGUAUCCUGUCUGAAUAUGGGGGGACCAUCCUCCAAGGCUAAAUACUCCUGACUGACCGAUAGUGAACCAGUACCGUGAGGGAAAGGCGAAAAGAACCCCGGCGAGGGGAGUGAAAAAGAACCUGAAACCGUGUACGUACAAGCAGUGGGAGCACAGGUUUACCUGUGUGACUGCGUACCUUUUGUAUAAUGGGUCAGCGACUUAUAUUCUGUAGCAAGGUUAACCGUAUAGGGGAGCCGGAGGGAAACCGAGUCUUAAUUGGGCGUUAAGUUGCAGGGUAUAGACCCGAAACCCGGUGAUCUAGCCAUGGGCAGGUUGAAGGUUGGGUAACACUAACUGGAGGACCGAACCGACUAAUGUUGAAAAAUUAGCGGAUGACCUGUGGCUGGGGGUGAAAGGCCAAUCAAACCGGGAGAUAGCUGGUUCUCCCCGAAAGCUAUUUAGGUAGCGCCUCGUGAAUUCAUCUCCGGGGGUAGAGCACUGUUUCGGCUAGGGGGCCAUCCCGGCUUACCAACCCGAUGCAAACUGCGAAUACCGGAGAAUGUUAUCACGGGAGACACACGGCGGGUGCUAACGUCCGUCGUGAAGAGGGAAACAACCCAGACCGCCAGCUAAGGUCCCAAAGUCAUGGUUAAGUGGGAAACGAUGUGGGAAGGCCCAGACAGCCAGGAUGUUGGCUUAGAAGCAGCCAUCAUUUAAAGAAAGCGUAAUAGCUCACUGGUCGAGUCGGCCUGCGCGGAAGAUGUAACGGGGCUAAACCAUGCACCGAAGCUGCGGCAGCGANNUGCUGGAGGUAUCAGAAGUGCGAAUGCUGACAUAAGUAACGAUAAAGCGGGUGAAAAGCCCGCUCGCCGGAAGACCAAGGGUUCCUGUCCAACGUUAAUCGGGGCAGGGUGAGUCGACCCCUAAGGCGAGGCCGAAAGGCGUAGUCGAUGGGAAACGGGUUAAUAUUCCCGUACUUGGUGUUACUGCGAAGGGGGGACGGAGAAGGCUAUGUUGGCCGGGCGACGGUUGUCCCGGUUUAAGCGUGUAGGUGUGUGUUCCAGGUAAAUCCGGUUCACUUUAACACUGAGGCGUGACGACGAGGCACUACGGUGCUGAAGCAACAAAUGCCCUGCUUCCAGGAAAAGCCUCUAAGCAUCAGGUAACAUCAAAUCGUACCCCAAACCGACACAGGUGGUCAGGUAGAGAAUACCAAGGCGCUUGAGAGAACUCGGGUGAAGGAACUAGGCAAAAUGGUGCCGUAACUUCGGGAGAAGGCACGCUGACACGUAGGUGAAGUGAUUUACUCAUGGAGCUGAAGUCAGUCGAAGAUACCAGCUGGCUGCAACUGUUUAUUAAAAACACAGCACUGUGCAAACACGAAAGUGGACGUAUACGGUGUGACGCCUGCCCGGUGCCGGAAGGUUAAUUGAUGGGGUCAGCGUAAGCGAAGCUCCUGAUCGAAGCCCCGGUAAACGGCGGCCGUAACUAUAACGGUCCUAAGGUAGCGAAAUUCCUUGUCGGGUAAGUUCCGACCUGCACGAAUGGCGUAAUGAUGGCCAGGCUGUCUCCACCCGAGACUCAGUGAAAUUGAACUCGCUGUGAAGAUGCAGUGUACCCGCGGCAAGACGGAAAGACCCCGUGAACCUUUACUAUAGCUUGACACUGAACAUUGAGCCUUGAUGUGUAGGAUAGGUGGGAGGCUUUGAAGUGUGGACGCCAGUCUGCAUGGAGCCGACCUUGAAAUACCACCCUUUAAUGUUUGAUGUUCUAACGUGGACCCGUAAUCCGGGUUGCGGACAGUGUCUGGUGGGUAGUUUGACUGGGGCGGUCUCCUCCUAAAGAGUAACGGAGGAGCACGAAGGUUGGCUAAUCCUGGUCGGACAUCAGGAGGUUAGUGCAAUGGCAUAAGCCAGCUUGACUGCGAGCGUGACGGCGCGAGCAGGUGCGAAAGCAGGUCAUAGUGAUCCGGUGGUUCUGAAUGGAAGGGCCAUCGCUCAACGGAUAAAAGGUACUCCGGGGAUAACAGGCUGAUACCGCCCAAGAGUUCAUAUCGACGGCGGUGUUUGGCACCUCGAUGUCGGCUCAUCACAUCCUGGGGCUGAAGUAGGUCCCAAGGGUAUGGCUGUUCGCCAUUUAAAGUGGUACGCGAGCUGGGUUUAGAACGUCGUGAGACAGUUCGGUCCCUAUCUGCCGUGGGCGCUGGAGAACUGAGGGGGGCUGCUCCUAGUACGAGAGGACCGGAGUGGACGCAUCACUGGUGUUCGGGUUGUCAUGCCAAUGGCACUGCCCGGUAGCUAAAUGCGGAAGAGAUAAGUGCUGAAAGCAUCUAAGCACGAAACUUGCCCCGAGAUGAGUUCUCCCUGAGACUU
Molecule: ribosomal RNA, 2694 nt
Filed under: Salmonella enterica subsp. enterica serovar Typhimurium
Lineage: Bacteria; Pseudomonadati; Pseudomonadota; Gammaproteobacteria; Enterobacterales; Enterobacteriaceae
Description: partial 23S ribosomal RNA
Rfam family: Bacterial large subunit ribosomal RNA
Source: RNAcentral